ACCUAUCCAUGAUGAUAAAAAAAAAAAUAGACAGGUUGUAUUAACAUACGGCUCUCUUUUAUUUAUUAAUCAUUACUACAAUCUAUAUGUCCAAGUACAAUACGGAAUAUAACCCUAGUUCAUGCAGCAAGCCCACAUACGACACCCGGCCUCUCCCGACAUUCUGCCGUCGUCAUCUUUCAAUAUCCAGCUUGCCCGUAAGCUCUGGGUGUCCUGACUGCUGCACACAGCUUAAACUUAAAUGAAAUCGGAAGUAGAGGUGCGCGCGGGCCGUGCUUUUUUUCGUGGCCCGCGGGCUUUUGCCAAAAAAAACGUGCUCGUGCUAAACAUCGAGUUUCGUGCAGGUUCGUGCGGGCCCCGGGCCUAAGAAAAAAGCCUGGAGGCCCGCAAAAGCCCGGAGGCCCGCAAAAUCGAGCCGCACAAUCGGUGGGACUCCUGAUAUGAUAUGUCCCGGAUCGAACAUUGUAAUCGAUAGUUAGUAUUUUUAUUUAUCUUUGUAUUGUGAACUAGUCCGAAAUGUUAGGAUUAUUAGCCAAAAUGUAUGCGGGCACACUGAUUGUCGCCAUCGUAAGUUUCCAAUAAGCCGGGAAAACUUUGCAUUUUUCAUUAUCGCGCGAAAUCUUGGAGGACACUGCGAAUAAAACGAGCCUACAUCCAUGGAAUAGUCUGCCCUUUCUUUCGGGAUCCAUGGUGGAGUAGCCGUUUAAAGGCAACUCAGUUCACGCGACGAUAUCUUUUAUUCGCAGUCCGAGGGCGACUGCAAGGGCAACUUGCGCUGGAGGAGGGCUUAGACGGCCAGCUAGAGAGUUGCCAGGAGCCAGCAGGAGGAGUGCAGCCAGCGCUACUUGCCGGAAAAGGACUCGCAGUCAGCGACAGAGUCGUCGCAGCCAGCGACAGAGGAGCCGCCAGCGACGAACGGCGGUACAACUGGGUCGCAGCCAGCGACGAGGAGACGGACAGGAUCGUUAUUUGCGGAGACCGCAGCCAGCGGUCACGAGGCGCAAGGAGCGCCAAGCAUCGGCGGCCGCAGACAGUUGCCACAAGGCGUAGGAGACGCCAUAUUGGACGCGUAGGAGACGCCAUUUUUGGACGCUGCCAAAAUGGAUCUGGGGAAGAUCCAGCA
Drosophila santomea is the source of this 1123-nucleotide long non-coding RNA. RefSeq lists it as uncharacterized. NCBI's taxonomy places the organism in Eukaryota, Metazoa, Arthropoda, Insecta, Diptera, Drosophilidae. The record is from RefSeq and is a predicted model, not a curated record. The transcript is spliced from 3 exons.